GCCAGGCAUGAUGGUGCAUGCCUGUAAUCCCAAUGGCUCCAGAGGCUGAGGCAGGAGGAUCGUGAGCUUAAAGCCAGCCUCAGCAAUGGUGAGGUGCUAAGCAACUCAAUGAGACCCUGUCUUUA
RNAcentral lists this small RNA (125 nucleotides) under Marmota monax (woodchuck). Lineage: Eukaryota; Metazoa; Chordata; Mammalia; Rodentia; Sciuridae. The record is from RNAcentral.